CCUUCCGCUUCCUCCUGCCUCCCGUCCUACUGAGCUGCUCUUCCGUCAGGGGGGACCUCGCCAGGCUCUCCAAACCCUUGGAGCCCGCAGAAACGCUCCGUGCCCCGAGCUGUCACCAGCGCCGCCUCCCAGGCCCCGGACGCGAUGCAGGCCAUCAAGUGCGUGGUGGUGGGAGAUGGAGCCGUGGGCAAGACCUGCCUUCUUAUCAGCUAUACCACCAACGCCUUCCCUGGAGAGUACAUCCCCACCGUGUUCGACAACUAUUCAGCCAAUGUGAUGGUGGACAGCAAGCCCGUGAACCUGGGGCUGUGGGACACCGCGGGGCAGGAGGACUAUGACCGCCUCCGGCCGCUCUCCUACCCACAGACGGACGUCUUUCUCAUCUGCUUCUCCCUUGUGAGCCCUGCCUCCUACGAGAAUGUCCGUGCUAAGUGGUUCCCUGAGGUGCGGCACCACUGCCCCAGCACGCCCAUCAUCCUGGUGGGCACCAAGCUGGAUCUGCGGGACGACAAGGACACCAUCGAGAGGCUGAAGGAGAAGAAGCUGGCACCUAUUACCUACCCGCAGGGCCUGGCACUGGCCAAGGAGAUCGACUCGGUCAAAUACCUGGAGUGCUCAGCCCUCACCCAGCGAGGCCUGAAAACCGUCUUCGAUGAGGCGAUCCGGGCCGUCCUGUGCCCCCAGCCCACGCGGCCACAGAAGCGCCCCUGCAGCAUCCUUUAGGGUUGCACCCAGCCCUCCCAGCCAGAUGGCUCUGACCUCCAGGGCCCUCCCAUAAAGCCCAAUGGCACCCCGGCUGGCCACGCUGUCCCCUCCCCGCCCGUGGUGUUUCCUAGCAGAGGGCUGCAGAGCUUGGUUGAUGGGCUUCUCUGGGCCGGAGGCCCCCUGGGGCUGGAAGGGUGUGAAUUCGUAGGCUCUGUUCCCAACCCCUGCCGCUCCUGCCCUCCCCCGCCCCUCCCCGGGGCCAGAGGGGAGCCCCCUUUGCAUUAGUGCUGUCCGUGCCCGCUGCCACACAAUGGCAGCGUCUACCCCUUUGCCCCAGUCCCACCGGACGCCUGAAUCCCCUCUGGAAAUUUCGGGCCAGAUUGUUGCCAGUAUGCCUUCAAGGACGGGUCUCUCGCUCCCUCCUGAGGCCGGCUACUACUCCAAUAUUGGUGGGCUUGCUUGUCUGAAAGUUCUCCUUCUCCUGAGCCAAAGUGAGUGUCUCAGAAGUUUGCUCCUCUGGUCUGAGCGCUCUUCUUUGGGACAACAUGAAAUAAACCAACUUCUCUGAAUGUCGGCGGGUACCUGCAACCGCCCGUCAAAACCCUGGGUCCCGCGGACUCCUGCCACCCCUCGAGGCUUUCUCCACCGCUCACAGGACCCUGAGCUACAUUUGCCCGUAGGAGUCUUAAAACUUUCAGACGCUGCCAGCCAGGACUUUUGCUAUUGCAAAUGGAAAACCUAAUUCAACCUGCUUAAGCAGAAAAUAAAUUUAUUGAUUCAAAUUUGGAAAGAUCGUGUCUUCAGGUGCAGCUUGAUCAAGGAGGGGGGGGGCUCAAAUUAUGUCAUCAGGGCUUGCUUUCCUGUACCUCUUUGCUCUGCCUUCUGCUGUCUGGUUCAUUUUCUGGCAGGUGUCUCUCAAGAGCAUUCUUCCGGGUUCAAGUUCGGCAAAAAAAAAAACAAAAAACAAAAAACAAAAAACACCAACAACAAGUAUCUGCCCCAGGCCAAGUUCUAAUUAAGGUUUACUCUGAUUGGACCAACUUACUUGCGGGUCAUAUUCAACCAAUCUUAUUUGGUGGGGGGAGGGUGCUGAGCUCUGAUUGGCCAGGCCUGGACCACACCCCAUGCUGGAGCGAGGGGUGGUUCCAAGCCGAUUAGAACCUUAUCUACUUAAGGUGGAGGGGUUAUCUCCCCAAGGAGGACUGAGACCUUGUUGGAGUUCGGGAUUAUGGGUGUCGAGCAGCCAGAACUCCCCAACCACCCUUAUUGCGGGUCACCGAAAGGGUCCCCACGGGGUGCGGGGUCCACUGCUGCACAGAAGCUCCUGCCCUCGGGGGCUGACACUCUGGAGAAGCUACAAGGAAGCUACAAGGCAGGAAUAAAAAAAGAGAGGUCUAAGACCCCGUCCCCCACGGCACAGAAGUCCCCCCCGGUUGCCAGCCCGCGAAAUGCUUUGGGUUUCUGUUCUCUGCGAUUCUCUGCUCACCGCCCCCGCCCCCCCCCCCCAGCUGCCCCCAUAAGUCCUGAUGUUGGGAGAGGCAGGGCCCUCCACCUCACCGGCCUCCCAGGAACCCCCACCCCCUUGAAAGGAACUGGGUUUAGCGGGGGGAAACCCCAUGGCGCCUCUCAGCCUCCGCUCAGACAAGGCCUUUCUGUUUUUAAGGUGACUUCACCACGGAAACAAGCCGCCUCCCCCAAAACCCCACGCCUGCUCUCGCUAGCAUGUGGCGAACACAGACCCAUCACCCCCCAUAAUGGGACACGCUGGUUGUUUAGAAGCCCUGGGGCGCCCCCUCCAGUCGUCCAGAGUCUGAAGCGAACCUCAUUUGCUCCCUGCUUUUCCGGGGCCUCCAGAUAAAUCUGGGACCCCUUCCCUUGACUCCCGAGGCCUGGCCACACCCCGCCUCCAGCCUCAGACCGAACUCUCAUUUCCUCAAAGACCUCUCUUUCGUCUUAGCCUUUGGCACACCCUGGUGUGGCCCUCUUUCCUCGAAGAAUUUCCUCUGCGCCUCUAACUUCCCUAGAUGCCAAGGGCGCGCGGGCGGGGGUGUCUCUGCCACGUGCCUCUUCCCCCGAGCCUGCCCCAGUGGGCACAGCCCUUGCUUUAUGCCAACAGCAACGCCAGGAAAUAAAUUCUCUCACCACCGUGCGUUCUCACCUA
This is an RNA transcript of Leopardus geoffroyi (Geoffroy's cat), 2866 nucleotides long. It is a transcript of the gene named Rac family small GTPase 2, with no coding region annotated. The record is from RefSeq and is a predicted model, not a curated record. Lineage: Eukaryota; Metazoa; Chordata; Mammalia; Carnivora; Felidae. The transcript is spliced from 8 exons.